AUUGAACGCUGGCGGCAUGCCUUACACAUGCAAGUCGAACGGCAGCACGGGAGCAAUCCUGGUGGCGAGUGGCGAACGGGUGAGUAAUAUAUCGGAACGUGCCCAGUCGUGGGGGAUAACGUAGCGAAAGCUACGCUAAUACCGCAUACGAUCUAUGGAUGAAAGCGGGGGAUCGCAAGACCUCGCGCGAUUGGAGCGGCCGAUAUCAGAUUAGGUAGUUGGUGGGGUAAAAGCCUACCAAGCCUUCGAUCUGUAGCUGGUCUGAGAGGACGACCAGCCACACUGGGACUGAGACACGGCCCAGACUCCUACGGGAGGCAGCAGUGGGGAAUUUUGGACAAUGGGCGCAAGCCUGAUCCAGCAAUGCCGCGUGCAGGAAGAAGGCC
RNAcentral lists this ribosomal RNA (386 nucleotides) under uncultured bacterium. Its description in RNAcentral is "bacterial SSU rRNA". It matches the Rfam family "Bacterial small subunit ribosomal RNA", at positions 30 to 416 of the family's 1533-position model. The record is from RNAcentral.